AAGAAAAAAGACAUCUAAUGGUAAGUAUGUUUUUUUUUUAAAUUUGCAGGUAUUUUGUUUUUUGUUCUCCCCUCACUAUUUUUAGGGUGAGGGGGGUAGGUAGUGUGACAAACUCCCCCUUUUAAGGGAGUUUUCCAUGAGUUUCUGGAGGGGCCUGCUUGCCCACCUCUUGCCCUGUGGAUAUAGCCCAUUGGAUGUAUUGCCCUUUAAAAGCGUUAUUGGGCAUAAUGGAUUUUAGUACACUGCUUCUGGCCCUUUAACUCCUAUGUGAAAGGAUCUGUACUUUUAAACUCGCACUUUGGAUACAGCCGAAGUAGUCGAAGUGGCCGCCAUUCGACAAACAAACACGUGGCGGUGGCCAUUUUAAUUUAGCUGAACGCGGUCAGCGGUGUAUUGCCUUCGAGCUCAUGGAACUAAAAUUGGAUACUUGACGGCACGAACACCGCUGAACUUUUGCCUCCUUUGGAACUUUGAUGCUUCGGCGGGAGUCAAACGGUGUUCAACAAUACGAACGGCACAUUAACACUGCAUAUUUUCACGAACUGCUCCGUUUGUGUAUUCGAACGGUAUUUGAACUGUGGUGAAUGGACCGGCCGCACAGCCAAAAUCUAUGGAACUGUUUUGGGCAGGAAAGCCAUGCUUGCGGUCAGUCAAAUGGGACUUCCCGCUAUCUCCCGAACCACUGAACCGAUUGGCAUGAUUUUUGAGUAUGUUUGUUCCCUAAUUAUGCUGGUUCAGAAAAUGUAAGUUAUGCGAAUGUGAUGUAUAAUUUUGUUAUAGAAAUUGUGUAAAAAGUGUAUUUUUCGCUUGGAGAUAAUUGAGCUGAUACAGUAAUUAGCCCAAUUAUCUCCCAAACAGAGGGGAGGAAUUUAC
Molecule: non-coding RNA, 873 nt
Organism: Pelobates cultripes (western spadefoot toad)
Lineage: Eukaryota; Metazoa; Chordata; Amphibia; Anura; Pelobatidae
Source: the annotation of a GenBank genome assembly